UACGUAGGUGGCAAGCGUUGUCCGGAAUUAUUGGGCGUAAAGCGCGCGCAGGCGGUUUCUUAAGUCUGAUGUGAAAGCCCCCGGCUCAACCGGGGAGGGUCAUUGGAAACUGGGGAACUUGAGUGCAGAAGAGGAGAGUGGAAUUCCACGUGUAGCGGUGAAAUGCGUAGAGAUGUGGAGGAACACCAGUGGCGAAGGCGACUCUCUGGUCUGUAACUGACGCUGAGGCGCGAAAGCGUGGGGAGCGAACAGGAUUAGAUACCCUGGUAGUCCACGCCGUAAACGAUGAGUGCUAAGUGUUAGAGGGUGUCCGCCCUUUAGUGCUGCAGCAAACGCAUUAAGCACUCCGCCUGGGGAGUACGGUCGCAAGACUGAA
This 376-nucleotide ribosomal RNA is filed under the name uncultured bacterium. Its description in RNAcentral is "bacterial SSU rRNA". It matches the Rfam family "Bacterial small subunit ribosomal RNA", at positions 524 to 898 of the family's 1533-position model. The record is from RNAcentral.